CUACGGGUCGCUCCAGCAAGGAAUAUUGGGCAAUGGGCGAAAGCCUGACCCAGCGACGCCGCGUGGGGGAAGAAGGCCUUCGGGUUGUAAACCCCUUUUCUCAGGGAAGAAAAAUGACGGUACCUGGGGAAUAAGCCUCGGCUAACUACGUGCCAGCAGCCGCGGUAAUACGUAGGAGGCGAGCGUUAUUCGGAUUUACUGGGCGUAAAGGGGGCGCAGGCGGCCUUUCAAGUCGGAUGUAAAAUCUCCCGGCUUAACUGGGAGGGACCAUUCGAUACUGUUGGGCUAGAGGGCAGCAGAGGAAGGUGGAAUUCCCGGUGUAGUGGUGAAAUGCGUAGAUAUCGGGAGGAACACCAGUGGCGAAGGCGACCUUCUGGGCUGUUUCUGACACUGAGGCCCGAAAGCGUGGGGAGCGAACAGGAUUAGAUACCCCUGUAGUC
This 440-nucleotide ribosomal RNA is filed under the name uncultured bacterium. RNAcentral's name for it is "partial 16S ribosomal RNA". It matches the Rfam family "Bacterial small subunit ribosomal RNA", at positions 339 to 795 of the family's 1533-position model. The record is from RNAcentral.